UACUAUAAGUUCCCUCAAGGAGAGGCAAAUCGACAUUUACGUCGACUGUGGGAGGCCAGCGUAAGGCGAGUGGACUGGGUCCCUAGCAACUACGACAGGAUCUGCUCAGAUCAUUUUGUAGGAGGGAAACGCACCCAUACGAAAGGGUCUGCGGGUUACAUACCAAGUGUCUUCCCUUGGCAAAAAGUUUGUCAAUCCAGAACUUCGAAAACAGCAAUACAGGCUGGGACUGUGACACCAGUACCAUGGCGCCGUCACGACACAUGGUCCCCUAGCCCUGAACAUGAUCAAGAGACCCCAGGACCAAGCAAUCGCCAAAUUGCCUUCGCACAGCAGCGGGAAAGGAAGAAGCAAGAGGAAGCAAGAGAAAACUCUAGACACGUAUGGAAGGUAACAUGGACAUGACUAUGUAGAAACAAGUAAAGAGAAGCCUUCCAUAUAUGAUGAAGAAUUGCCAAGACUGUACAAGAAAAUCCAGGAGUUGGAAAAGGAAAAUUCACAGCUGAAGCAGAGAGUAUUUAGUUUGGACACUGUAAAAGAGUGUGAUAAAGAUUUCCAGAGGUACACAAACUUACCAAACUUUGCAGUAUUUUCUGCAGUCAGUGACUAUUUGAAGAAAAUAUGUAAAGGUCACCUAAAGUACUGGCGAGGUCAGGAGACUGACUGCACACCUACCAAGAGGAGUGGAAGAGAAAGAUCAUUAUCUUUUGAAGAGGAGUUCUUCUUAGUACUUGUGAAAUUAAAAUCAGGGGAUUUCAACCAACAAAUCGCGGGCCGAUUCGGCAUAAGUACCAGUCAAGUUUCCAAGAUAUUCACGACAUGGUUGAACUUUCUCCACAGAGAGCUUCGGUUGCUGUUCGAGAUGAAAACCAGUUGGGAUAAACCAGAAACAAUCCCUGAGUGCUUCAGACGGUAUGAUCGACUUGUGUCAGUCAUCGAUUGUACAGAACUGCAGGUGGAAAUGGCAGGAACGCUGCAAGCGAGAAAGGAGACUUACUCUAAACUAUAAGAA
Branchiostoma belcheri (Belcher's lancelet) is the source of this 1012-nucleotide long non-coding RNA. RefSeq lists it as uncharacterized. The record is from RefSeq and is a predicted model, not a curated record. The transcript has 3 exons. NCBI's taxonomy places the organism in Eukaryota, Metazoa, Chordata, Leptocardii, Amphioxiformes, Branchiostomatidae.